CCUACGGGAGGCAGCAGUGAGGAAUAUUGGUCAAUGGACGGAAGUCUGAACCAGCCAUGCCGCGUGCAGGAUGACGGCUCUAUGAGUUGUAAACUGCUUUUUUACGGGAAUACUAGUUCUUACGUGUAGGGAUUUGAAUGUAUCGUACGAAUAAGGAUCGGCUAACUCGGGGUAAGAAGCCGCAGUAAUACGGAGGAUUCGAGCGUUAUCCGGAUUUAUUGUGUUUGAAGGGUGCGUAGGCUGUCGGAUAAGUUAGAGGGCAAAUGGCGGGGCUUAGCCCCGUGCCUGCCUCGGAUACUGUUCGACUAGAGAGCGAAUGCAGCAGGCGGAAUGAGUAGUGUAGCGGUGAAAUGCUUAGAUAUUACUCAGAACACCGAUGGCGCAGGCAGCUUGCUAAUCCGCAUCUGACGCUGAUGCACGAAAGCGUGGGUAGCGAACAGGAUUAGAUACCCCAGUAGUC
Molecule: ribosomal RNA, 460 nt
Filed under: uncultured bacterium
Lineage: Bacteria
Description: partial 16S ribosomal RNA
Rfam family: Bacterial small subunit ribosomal RNA
Source: RNAcentral